Molecule: ribosomal RNA, 787 nt
Filed under: uncultured bacterium
Lineage: Bacteria
Description: bacterial SSU rRNA
Rfam family: Bacterial small subunit ribosomal RNA
Source: RNAcentral
AGAGUUUGAUCCUGGCUCAGAACGAACGCUGGCGGCGCGCCUAAUACAUGCAAGUCGAGCGAGAAGGUGUAGCAAUACACUUGUAAAGCGGCGAACGGGUGAGGAAUGCAUGGGUAACCUACCCUCGAGUGGGGAAUAACUAGCCGAAAGGUUAGCUAAUACCGCAUACGUUUCCGGAACUUCGGUUCCGGAAAGAAAGCAAUACCGUGGGUAUUGCGCUCAUGGAUGGGCUCAUGUCCUAUCAGCUUGUUGGUGAGGUAAUGGCUCACCAAGGCUUCGACGGGUAGCUGGUCUGAGAGGACGAUCAGCCACACUGGCACUGCGACACGGGCCAGACUCCUACGGGAGGCAGCAGUAAGGAAUAUUGCGCAAUGGACGAAAGUCUGACGCAGCGACGCCGCGUGGGGGAUGAAGGUCUUCGGAUUGUAAACCCCUUUCGGGAGGGAAGAUGGAGUGGGUAACCACUUGGACGGUACCUCCAGAAGCAGCCACGGCUAACUUCGUGCCAGCAGCCGCGGUAAUACGAAGGUGGCAAGCGUUGUUCGGAUUCACUGGGCGUACAGGGAGCGUAGGCGGUUGGGUAAGCCCUCCGUGAAAUCUCCGGGCCUAACCCGGAAAGUGCAGAGGGGACUGCUCAGCUAGAGGAUGGGAGAGGAGCGCGGAAUUCCCGGUGUAGCGGUGAAAUGCGUAGAGAUCGGGGGGAAGCCGGUGGCGAAGCGGCGCUCUGGAACAUUUCUGAGCUAGCUCGAAAGCGUGGGGAGCAAACAGGAUAGAUACCCUGGUAGUC